RNAcentral lists this ribosomal RNA (510 nucleotides) under uncultured Diversisporaceae. RNAcentral's name for it is "SSU rRNA". It matches the Rfam family "Eukaryotic small subunit ribosomal RNA", at positions 569 to 1078 of the family's 1831-position model. Lineage: Eukaryota; Fungi; Glomeromycota; Glomeromycetes; Diversisporales. The record is from RNAcentral.
AGCAGCCGCGGUAAUUCCAGCUCCAAUAGCGUAUAUUAAAGUUGUUGCAGUUAAAAAGCUCGUAGUUGAAUUUCGGGAUUCGUCCAUUGGUCAGGCUUAACUGUCUGUACUGGUGUGUCGGAUUUCUACCUUCUGAAGAACCUUCAUGCCAUUAAUUUGGUGUGUUGGGGAAUCAGGACUGUUACUUUGAAAAAAUUAGAGUGUUUAAAGCAGGCUAACGUCUGAAUACAUUAGCAUGGAAUAAUGAAAUAGGACGGUACGGUUCUAUUUUGUUGGUUUCUAGGAUCGCCGUAAUGAUUAAUAGGGAUAGUUGGGGGCAUUAGUAUUCAAUUGUCAGAGGUGAAAUUCUUGGAUUUAUUGAAGACUAACUACUGCGAAAGCAUUUGCCAAGGAUGUUUUCAUUAAUCAAGAACGAAAGUUAGGGGAUCGAAGACGAUCAGAUACCGUCGUAGUCUUAACCAUAAACUAUGCCGACUAGGGAUUGGACGAUGUUAAUUUUUUAAUGACUCA